This 503-nucleotide ribosomal RNA is filed under the name uncultured bacterium. RNAcentral describes it as "partial 16S ribosomal RNA". It matches the Rfam family "Bacterial small subunit ribosomal RNA", at positions 30 to 523 of the family's 1533-position model. The record is from RNAcentral.
AUUGAACGCUGGCGGCAGGCUUAACACAUGCAAGUCGAGCGGGGUGAUGGUGCUUGCACUAUCACUUAGCGGCGGACGGGUGAGUAAUGCUUAGGAAUCUGCCUAUUAGUGGGGGACAACAUCUCGAAAGGGACGCUAAUACCGCAUACGUCCUACGGGAGAAAGCAGGGGAUCACUUGUGACCUUGCGCUAAUAGAUGAGCCUAAGUGGGAUUAGCGAGUUGGUUGGGUAAAGGCCUACCAAGGCGACGAUCUGUAGCGGGUCUGAGAGGAUGAUCCGCCACACUGGGACUGAGACACGGCCCAGACUCCUACGGGGGGCAGCAGUGGGGAAUAUUGGACAAUGGGGGGAACCCUGAUCCAGCCAUGCCGCGUGUGUGAAGAAGGCCUUAUGGUUGUAAAGCACUUUAAGCGAGGAGGAGGCUCUUUUGGUUAAUACCCAAGAUGAGUGGACGUUACUCGCAGAAUAAGCACCGGCUAACUCUGUGCCAGCAGCCGCCGCCG